RNAcentral lists this ribosomal RNA (492 nucleotides) under uncultured bacterium. RNAcentral's name for it is "partial 16S ribosomal RNA". It matches the Rfam family "Bacterial small subunit ribosomal RNA", at positions 29 to 507 of the family's 1533-position model. The record is from RNAcentral.
AGUGAACGCUGGCGGUAGGCCUAACACAUGCAAGUCGAACGGCAGCACAGUAAGAGCUUGCUCUUACGGGUGGCGAGUGGCGGACGGGUGAGUAAUACAUCGGAAUCUACUUUUUCGUGGGGGAUAACGUAGGGAAACUUACGCUAAUACCGCAUACAACCUACGGGUGAAAGCAGGGGAUCUUCGGACCUGUCGCGAUUGAAUAAGCCGAUGUCGGAUUAGCUAGUUGGCGGGGUAAAGGCCCACCACGGCGACGAUCCGUAGCUGGUCUGAGAGGAUCAAUCCAUAGCUGGUCAGUGAGACUGGGCCGCGACACCUGCGGGGGGACGCAGUCCGGACUCUUACGGGAUGCACGAGAGCGUAAUACAGGAAUACGGCGUGAGUCCUGAUCCACCUAGGCUUGUAAAGCCAUUAUGGUGGGAGAGAAGUGAAGCACGUUAACCCGCGACUAUACUGACGGUACCCAAAGAAUAAGCUCCGGCUAACUUCGUG